RNAcentral lists this transfer RNA (87 nucleotides) under Lachnospiraceae bacterium. RNAcentral describes it as "tRNA-Ser". It matches the Rfam family "tRNA". From Rfam's summary of the family: Transfer RNA (tRNA) molecules are approximately 80 nucleotides in length. Their secondary structure includes four short double-helical elements and three loops (D, anti-codon, and T loops). Further hydrogen bonds mediate the characteristic L-shaped molecular structure. tRNAs have two regions of fundamental functional importance: the anti-codon, which is responsible for specific mRNA codon recognition, and the 3' end, to which the tRNAs corresponding amino acid is attached (by aminoacyl-tRNA synthetases). tRNAs cope with the degeneracy of the genetic code in two manners: having more than one tRNA (with a specific anti-codon) for a particular amino acid; and 'wobble' base-pairing, i.e. permitting non-standard base-pairing at the 3rd anti-codon position. The record is from RNAcentral. Lineage: Bacteria; Bacillati; Bacillota; Clostridia; Lachnospirales; Lachnospiraceae.
GGAGUCGUAUCGAAGCGGUCAUAACGGGGCGCACUCGAAAUGCGUUUGCCCUUUUGGGGCACGAGGGUUCGAAUCCCUCCGACUCCG